UUCUUUGUCGUUUCCUCAUUACUGAGGGUCG
RNAcentral lists this small RNA (31 nucleotides) under Bombyx mori (domestic silkworm). RNAcentral's name for it is "ovarian small RNA-37584". Lineage: Eukaryota; Metazoa; Arthropoda; Insecta; Lepidoptera; Bombycidae. The record is from RNAcentral.